RNAcentral lists this ribosomal RNA (617 nucleotides) under Salmonella enterica subsp. enterica serovar Agbeni. RNAcentral describes it as "partial 23S ribosomal RNA". It matches the Rfam family "Bacterial large subunit ribosomal RNA", at positions 29 to 688 of the family's 2925-position model. The record is from RNAcentral. Lineage: Bacteria; Pseudomonadati; Pseudomonadota; Gammaproteobacteria; Enterobacterales; Enterobacteriaceae.
UGCCCUGGCAGUCAGAGGCGAUGAAGGACGUGCUAAUCUGCGAUAAGCGCCGGUAAGGUGAUAUGAACCGUUAUAACCGGCGAUUUCCGAAUGGGGAAACCCAGUGUGAUUCGUCACACUAUCAUUAACUGAAUCCAUAGGUUAAUGAGGCGAACCGGGGGAACUGAAACAUCUAAGUACCCCGAGGAAAAGAAAUCAACCGAGAUUCCCCCAGUAGCGGCGAGCGAACGGGGAGGAGCCCAGAGCCUGAAUCAGCAUGUGUGUUAGUGGAAGCGUCUGGAAAGGCGCGCGAUACAGGGUGACAGCCCCGUACACAAAAGCGCAUGUGCUGUGAGCUCGAUGAGUAGGGCGGGACACGUGGUAUCCUGUCUGAAUAUGGGGGGACCAUCCUCCAAGGCUAAAUACUCCUGACUGACCGAUAGUGAACCAGUACCGUGAGGGAAAGGCGAAAAGAACCCCGGCGAGGGGAGUGAAAAAGAACCUGAAACCGUGUACGUACAAGCAGUGGGAGCACCCUUCGGGGUGUGACUGCGUACCUUUUGUAUAAUGGGUCAGCGACUUAUAUUCUGUAGCAAGGUUAACCGUAUAGGGGAGCCGCAGGGAAACCGAGUCUUAAU